Acanthosepion pharaonis is the source of this 108-nucleotide non-coding RNA. The record is from the annotation of a GenBank genome assembly. Lineage: Eukaryota; Metazoa; Mollusca; Cephalopoda; Sepiida; Sepiidae.
UACAGCCACAUCACGUUGAAAUACCAGUUUCCAUAUGAUCACCGGUUAAGCAACAUUGAGCCUGGUCAGUACCUAGAUGGGUGACCACUUGGGAAUAUAGUGCUGUAA